GGCGAGGGGAGUGAAAAAGAACCUGAAACCGUGUACGUACAAGCAGUGGGAGCACAGGUUUACCUGUGUGACUGCGUACCUUUUGUAUAAUGGGUCAGCGACUUAUAUUCUGUAGCAAGGUUAACCGUAUAGGGGAGCCGCAGGGAAACCGAGUCUUAACCGGGCGUUAAGUUGCAGGGUAUAGACCCGAAACCCGGUGAUCUAGCCAUGGGCAGGUUGAAGGUUGGGUAACACUAACUGGAGGACCGAACAGACUAAUGUUGAAAAA
This 268-nucleotide ribosomal RNA is filed under the name Salmonella enterica subsp. enterica serovar Kentucky. RNAcentral's name for it is "partial 23S ribosomal RNA". It matches the Rfam family "Bacterial large subunit ribosomal RNA", at positions 528 to 796 of the family's 2925-position model. Lineage: Bacteria; Pseudomonadati; Pseudomonadota; Gammaproteobacteria; Enterobacterales; Enterobacteriaceae. The record is from RNAcentral.